RNAcentral lists this long non-coding RNA (673 nucleotides) under Mytilus galloprovincialis (Mediterranean mussel). Lineage: Eukaryota; Metazoa; Mollusca; Bivalvia; Mytilida; Mytilidae. The record is from RNAcentral.
AACUUAUUUAAAUAUAUUUGUGAAAACUAAAAAGUGAAAAUAUAAAGUAGGAAUUGAGCAGUCAUCAAGUUUGAUUUAAUCACAUGUUGGGAUAUCUAUAGGGGUAGAUAGUACAUUGUAUUUUUUUUUUUAAUAUUGCAUGUAUAUAUAGCUUUUACAUUCCUAGUCUUAAUAUUUUAUUUUCAAAACCCCAAUCCAUUGAUGGCAGGGGAUAUAGUUAUCAUGGUUAUAGUAAUGUUUUUUUCAAACAUUAUAGUUAUAUUUUUAUCUGUCUGUUAUUUAUUUUUCUAUGAACCAAUUAUCAACUACCAUUUGUUAUUGUAAUACUGGCUAAACGAUUUGGCUAAUCUAAAACUAGGUAUACAUAAAAACCAGAAAAAGUUAACUCAUUGGUCCAGUUCAAAGCAUUCUCAUGAGCCCUUACUGGUUUAAAAACUUUUUAAUCUUCAUUAAACAUUUCAGAGGUUAAGGAUCAAUGACAAAUCCGUGUUUGCAUGUUAAAAGCAUGGAAAGAAAUUCAUGGAUAGUUUUUGGAUCAGAGAUAACUGGUCAAGCUGAGGUUUGAGUUUCCAAUGUUUAUUCAUUUAGUAUACUAAAUUCUAGAAGAAGAAUAGCAAUAGGAAUAUGUUUAAGUUUUAUGUUACAUUUGUUAUUUUUACAUGUACAGCACUCA